This 74-nucleotide transfer RNA is filed under the name Cricetulus griseus (Chinese hamster). It matches the Rfam family "tRNA". From Rfam's summary of the family: Transfer RNA (tRNA) molecules are approximately 80 nucleotides in length. Their secondary structure includes four short double-helical elements and three loops (D, anti-codon, and T loops). Lineage: Eukaryota; Metazoa; Chordata; Mammalia; Rodentia; Cricetidae. The record is from Rfam by way of RNAcentral.
GCCCAGCUAGCUCAGCUGGUAGAGCAUGAGACUCUUCAUCUCAGAGGUUGAGGGUUCAUGCCCUACAUUGGGUG